RNAcentral lists this ribosomal RNA (422 nucleotides) under uncultured bacterium. Its description in RNAcentral is "bacterial SSU rRNA". It matches the Rfam family "Bacterial small subunit ribosomal RNA", at positions 106 to 524 of the family's 1533-position model. The record is from RNAcentral.
GUGAGUAAUGCAUCGGAAUGUGCGCCGUAGUGGGGGAUAACUUUCCGAAAGGUGAGCUAAUUCCGCAUACGAUCUAAGGAUGAAAGCGGGGGACCGAAAGGCCUCGCGCUAUUGCAGCCGCCGAUGUUUGAUUAGCUAGUUGGUAGGGUAAAGGCCUACCCAGGCAACGAUCCGUAGCUGGUUUGAGAGGGCGACCCGCCCCCCUGGGACUGAGACCCGGCCCCGACUCCUUCGGGAGGCAGCCGUGGGGAAUUUUGGACAAUGGGGGAAACCCUGAUCCCGCCCUGCCGCGUGCGGGAAGAAGGCCUUCGGGUUGUAAACCGCUUUUGGUAGGGACGAAAAGGCUCUAGUUAAUACCUAGAGCUGCUGACGGUACCUGCCGAAUAAGCACCGGCUAACUACGUGCCCGCCGCCGCGGAAAU